RNAcentral lists this long non-coding RNA (617 nucleotides) under Mustela putorius furo (domestic ferret). Its description in RNAcentral is "lncRNA (ENSMPUG00000030560.1)". Lineage: Eukaryota; Metazoa; Chordata; Mammalia; Carnivora; Mustelidae. The record is from RNAcentral.
CAUAAUGGCGGCAGGUGUGCCAGGAGAAACAGGGGACCAUAAGAACAAAUAUGUCAAGGACCAAAACUAGUCUGGGAAUGUUAAAAAAAAAAAAAAAAAAGUUUUCUUGGGAAGUGACAUCUAAGCUGAAAUUAAAACCAUGAGUAUGAGUUGGCCAGAUGAAGAAAUGGAUUAAUAUCCACUUUCUAGGUAGAGGAAAUGAUGUGCAAAGGCCCUGAGUGCCAGCACACUUGGACUCUUCCCAGAGAGACUUGAGGAAAGAGGAAGGAAGAACUUGCUGUUGGCGAGAAAGGAGCAAGGCGGCCGGAAGAGACCCAGCUGGUUGGGGAUUCUUGCCGGAGGCCGGCACAGACAAGAUGGGGCUGGCUGGUGUGUCUCUGAGGUCCUGUCUGCAAUGGGAGACAUGACACCCACCUCUAGGGAACUGACCAGAAGGACCUGCGUUAACUCCCAGCCAAGGAUUUGGGCUUCGUCAGGACUGCAGCCGUGGGCCCGCAAAGGGUGGGGGCCAGACACAUGGUAUCUGUUGUAGGCUGUGCCGGAAUUUGUCACCAAAUCAACACCUGGCAAAACUAGGAUGCCUUCAUGCGUUUCACAUUUAAUAAAUAUAAAGAAAG